RNAcentral lists this ribosomal RNA (479 nucleotides) under uncultured organism. RNAcentral's name for it is "partial 16S ribosomal RNA". It matches the Rfam family "Bacterial small subunit ribosomal RNA", at positions 329 to 799 of the family's 1533-position model. The record is from RNAcentral.
ACGUACUCUCCUGCGGGAGGCAGCAGUGGGGAAUUUUGGACAAUGGGCGAAAGCCUGAUCCAGCAAUGCCGCGUGAGUGAAGAAGGCCUUCGGGUUGUAAAGCUCUUUUGUCAGGGAAGAAACGGUGAGAGCUAAUAUCUUUUGCUAAUGACGGUACCUGAAGAAUAAGCACCGGCUAACUACGUGCCAGCAGCCGCGGUAAUACGUAGGGUGCAAGCGUUAAUCGGAAUUACUGGGCGUAAAGCGUGCGCAGGCGGUUUUGUAAGUCUGAUGUGAAAUCCCCGGGCUCAACCUGGGAAUGGCAUUGGAGACUGCAAGGCUAGAAUCUGGCAGAGGGGGGUAGAAUUCCACGUGUAGCAGUGAAAUGCGUAGAUAUGUGGAGGAACACCGAUGGCGAAGGCAGCCCCCUGGGUCAAGAUUGACGCUCAUGCACGAAAGCGUGGGGAGCAAACAGGAUUAGAAACCCUUGUAGUCCCAUG